CCGCAAUGCGGGCAACCGUGACGGGGUCACCCCGAGUGCCCCGAANAGGGGCUUUUCCCCGCUGNAAAAAGGCGGGGGAAUAAGCGGGGGGCAAGUCUGGUGUCAGCCGCCGCGGUAAUACCAGCCCCGCGAGUGGUCGGGACGAUUAUUGGGCCUAAAGCGGCCGUAGCCGGCCCGGCAAGUCCUCGCUGAAAUCCUCGGGCUCAACCCGAGGGCGGGCGGGGAUACUGCCGGGCUAGAGGGCGGGAGAGGCCGGGGGUAGUCCCGGGGUAGGGGCGAAAUCCGAUAAUCCCGGGAGGACCACCAGUGGCGAAGGCGCCCGGCUGGAACGCGCCUGACGGUGAGGGCCGAAAGCCGGGGGAGCGAACCGGAUUAGAUACCCGGGUAGUCCCGGCUGUAAACGAUGCGGGCUAGGUGUUGGGCUGACUUAGAGUCAGCCCAGUGCCGCA
Molecule: ribosomal RNA, 449 nt
Filed under: uncultured crenarchaeote
Lineage: Archaea; Thermoproteati; Thermoproteota
Description: bacterial SSU rRNA
Rfam family: Archaeal small subunit ribosomal RNA
Source: RNAcentral